This 73-nucleotide transfer RNA is filed under the name Ailuropoda melanoleuca (giant panda). It matches the Rfam family "tRNA". Rfam says of the family: Transfer RNA (tRNA) molecules are approximately 80 nucleotides in length. Their secondary structure includes four short double-helical elements and three loops (D, anti-codon, and T loops). Lineage: Eukaryota; Metazoa; Chordata; Mammalia; Carnivora; Ursidae. The record is from Rfam by way of RNAcentral.
ACCUGGCUAGCUCAGUUGGUAAAGCAUGUGACUCUUGAUCUCUGAGUUGUAAGUUUGAGCCUCAUGUUGGGUA